UGAAAAUUUCCAACUGGGAUCCAACUGGGAUCAACUGGGAUGAACUGGUUCCAGCUGGAAACCAACUGGUCCCAGUUACACACCAACUGGUCCCAGUUACACACCAACUGGUCCCAGUUACACACCAACUGGUCCCAGUUGGAAAGCAACUGGGUAGCAACUGGUUCCAGUUGGGAUCCAACUGGAACAAUUUCCAGUUAUACUGGGAGUGACUGGACCCAGUUGGGAUCCAACUGGAACAUUCACCAGUUGUACUGGAAUCAACUGGUCCCAGUAGAGAGGCAACUGGAACUUUCACCAGUUGUACUGGAAUCAAAGUUCCAGUUGGAUUCCAACUGGAACUUUGACCAGUUGUAUCAGUAGCAACUGGAAGCAACUUAAACAAUGGCCAGUUGUACUGGUAGCAACUGGUUCCAGUUUGAAUCCAAAUGAAAUGGUGACCAGAAGUUUAAAUGAAAGCAAGUAACAUGCAGUGCUUGCUAAGACAGCAGCAGCUAGUCCUACUUAUACUGAGCAAUUAAGUUUGGCAGUUUUAGCAAUCCUAGCAAACAUUCUAAUAGAAGUUUGUAAUAAUUAGUCUAAUACGUUUGUAUUAAGUUUUGUAUUAGACCAAUAUCAAUUUUUAUUAGUCGUACUGAUUUACCUAUAAGAUCAAUAGGCCGUGCGUAUUAGACUUAUUAGUCUUAUACAAGCAGUGUUGCGCGUGUCUACUAGUUUCUCUAUUAGACUAAUGGGUCCUAUUGGCCUUAUGCAGAUUGUUGCUGGUUUUAUACAACAUGUACUGCUAGAUUCUGCAGCUCUUGUUUGCUGUUGAAAGUUAAUCGACAAAAAAUUAGACUAGCGGACCGCUUGCUUGCAUGGAGAGGUGUUUCUAAUUAAUCACUGAAUAAUUAAAAAUUCUGCUGUACAAUUGGACAGCAGAUUGCAUUCGCACGUUUGCAUUUGUUUCAGCGCACCAUCUCUCAGCGACAUACACAAAAGCGACGUGCGCCUACAUGGUCUUGCUUCACUGAGCCUCGUCGGGAUGAGUCGAGGAAACAGCUAGUGUUUACAGCACACGAAAAAAAAAAAAAAAGAAAGAAAGAAAAACCCGAACAACCAGCCGUCAGAUCGCGGUGCCCGGCCAGCUUUCGAACGACGGUCAAUAGCAGCAACCAUAUUUGUUUGCCGCUGAAGUUUCGUCAGUGUCGUAUUUUCUGUUGAAGUGCACAUAAAGUAGAUGUUAAACUUUUAAUGUAAAUUGCUAACUUGAUACCGCAUAUAAAAGGCCGUAAUAUUUAUUGACAUCAAAGAGCAGUAUCGCAGAGAAGGGAACAAGGCGGGCGGGAAGGACAUAAAACUGCUACCGUAAUCAGCCGUAGUUGCGCACAGCACGUGUGUAAUGGCGGCUGCCAUGUCUAGGCGAGGCGUCACGCGAGGCGUGCGUGCGUGUUAGUGAAUGAACGAUGUGUUUUUAAGGAACCCGUGGUGUUAGCGCCUGCACAAUCUGAUUCGUGCAGUAGUAUAUUUGGAUAGUUUUAUCUAUGGCUGCUGUUUUGACUUCAAAACAACGCAAGGCAACUGUUUUACCCCUGCCCUUCUCGGCUUUGUGGAUUUAUCAGCGUACAUCGAUGUGCAGUGUUCUCCCCGGCGCCGAUUCACCAUUUCGAGGUUUUUUAACCACUUCCUCAAAAGGACGUCCUUUGGUCGAAGUCAACGAAAAGCUCGCAAUCAAGAUUGCUGACCUGAUGAAGAUCUCGAAAGAUGAAUCUGUAAAAAUACAUGCUGUGCUAAUAAAUGCUUUUAGCAAUUUUA
Dermacentor silvarum is the source of this 1794-nucleotide long non-coding RNA. RefSeq lists it as uncharacterized. The record is from RefSeq and is a predicted model, not a curated record. NCBI's taxonomy places the organism in Eukaryota, Metazoa, Arthropoda, Arachnida, Ixodida, Ixodidae. The transcript has 2 exons.